AUCCAGCUGACGAGUCCCAAAUAGGAUGAGACUCGUGUCUUGGAU
Schistosoma curassoni is the source of this 45-nucleotide non-coding RNA. NCBI's taxonomy places the organism in Eukaryota, Metazoa, Platyhelminthes, Trematoda, Strigeidida, Schistosomatidae. The record is from Rfam.